Molecule: long non-coding RNA, 525 nt
Filed under: Lathyrus oleraceus (garden pea)
Lineage: Eukaryota; Viridiplantae; Streptophyta; Magnoliopsida; Fabales; Fabaceae
Description: Pisum sativum (pea) long non-coding RNA (PSAT_LNC033379)
Source: RNAcentral
AAUAUGCAAUUCAAGUCAUUCAUUUCCAUAUAAUAUCAAGUUCAUACAAGAUCUGAUGUUCAUCAAUGCAUUCGAAGUCAAAGUCAUGCAUUCAAGUCAAAAACAAUCAAUCUCAUUCAAGUAAUCAUGUACUAUCCAUUAUAAUGCUCAUUACAUCAAAAAUACACAAAUUGGAAAUGUUGACUUUAGGCCAAUAGUUGACUUUUUGGCAACUUUGACCAAAGUCAACUCAAUCCUAAAAAACCCUAAAAUCCCAAAUCCUUGUCCUAAUCUUGACCUUGAUCUCCCAUAUUCCAUUUUGAUCUUGGAUUGGCCAAGUAAGCAUAAUGCUCCAUGAUUCUUGUUGUUGUCAUGAAACUUUGUCUGUCCAACACAUGAAGCCAUAACCUGCAGGAGCGGCAAAAGAAAACACAUAAGUAACCCACAACCUGAAGCGAGCCAGUAUGGAUGCACAAAGAAAUUUGCAUAACAUACAAGGCAAUAACAUUACCAAACAUGACCCGCAACCAUAAAAGACAGCAAACA